AUACCUUUCUCGGUCUUUUAACUAAGAUAAAGUGUAAUAUUUGCUAUUAUUCGUUUAAUCUCUGAUAUAUGGACUAUAUGGUCCUUUGAUAUUAAAUUUAUUUUUAUGGGUAUCAAAUGUGAUUGUGCCCCGCUUCUUACCUAACCUCGCUAAUUGAAGGAGAGGGGGGGUCACA
Molecule: small nuclear RNA, 175 nt
Filed under: Zea mays
Lineage: Eukaryota; Viridiplantae; Streptophyta; Magnoliopsida; Poales; Poaceae
Description: U2 spliceosomal RNA
Rfam family: U2 spliceosomal RNA
About the family: U2 is a small nuclear RNA (snRNA) component of the spliceosome (involved in pre-mRNA splicing). Complementary binding between U2 snRNA (in an area lying towards the 5' end but 3' to hairpin I) and the branchpoint sequence (BPS) of the intron results the bulging out of an unpaired adenosine, on the BPS, which initiates a nucleophilic attack at the intronic 5' splice site, thus starting the first of two transesterification reactions that mediate splicing.
Source: Rfam by way of RNAcentral